RNAcentral lists this ribosomal RNA (748 nucleotides) under uncultured eukaryote. RNAcentral describes it as "SSU rRNA". It matches the Rfam family "Eukaryotic small subunit ribosomal RNA", at positions 670 to 1443 of the family's 1831-position model. The record is from RNAcentral.
UGAUCAAGCUCGCUUCAGCCGAGACUUUUUUUCUGGUUAUGCUAUAGGUGGCUUCGGUCGUUUAUAGUCUCUAGCCAGAUGAUUACCAUGAGCAAAUCAGAGUGUUUAAAGCAGGCUUUUAAGCUUGAAUGUGUUAGCAUGGAAUAAUGAAAUAUGACUUUAGUUCUUAUUUCGUUGGUUCAGGAACUUAAGUAAUGAUGAAUAGAAACGGUUGGGGGCAUUUGUAUUUGGUCGCUAGAGGUGAAAUUCUUGGAUUGACCGAAGACAAACUACUGCGAAAGCAUUUGACCCAGGACGUUUUCAUUGAUCAAGGUCUAAAGUUAAGGGAUCGAAGACGAUUAGAUACCGUCGUAGUCUUAACCACAAACUAUGCCGACUAGAGAUUGGGCUUGUUUAUUAUGACUAGCUCAGCAUCUUAGCGAAAGUAAAGUUUUUGGGUUCUGGGGGGAGUAUGGGACGCAAGGCUGAAACUUAAAGAAAUUGACGGAAGGGCACCACCAGGGGUGGAACCUGCGGCUUAAUUUGACUCAACACGGGGAAACUCACCAGGUCCAGACACAAUGAGGAUUGACAGAUUGAGAGCUCUUUCUUGAUUUUGUGGGUGGUGGUGCAUGGCCGUUCUUAGUUGGUGGAGUGAUUUGUCUGCUUAAUUGCGAUAACGAACGAGACCUUAACCUACUAACUAGCCCGUAUUGCUCAGGCAGUACGCCGGCUUCUUAGAGGGACUAUCGGCUCAAGCCGAUGGAAG